RNAcentral lists this ribosomal RNA (406 nucleotides) under actinobacterium SCGC AAA278-I14. RNAcentral describes it as "bacterial SSU rRNA". It matches the Rfam family "Bacterial small subunit ribosomal RNA", at positions 354 to 772 of the family's 1533-position model. Lineage: Bacteria; Bacillati; Actinomycetota; Actinomycetes. The record is from RNAcentral.
GUGGGGAAUAUUGGGCAAUGGGCGAAAGCCUGACCCAGCGACGCCGCGUGAGGGACGAAGGCCUUCGGGUUGUAAACCUCUUUCAGCAGGGAAGAAGCGAAAGUGACGGUACCUGNAGAAGAAGCACCGGCUAACUACGUGCCAGCAGCCGCGGUAAUACGUAGGGUGCAAGCGUUGUCCGGAAUUAUUGGGCGUAAAGAGCUCGUAGGUGGUUUGCCACGUCGGAUGUGAAAACCUGAGGCUUAACCUCAGGCCUGCAUUCGAUACGGGCAGACUAGAGUGUGGUAGGGGAGACUGGAAUUCCUGGUGUAGCGGUGAAAUGCGCAGAUAUCAGGAGGAACACCGAUGGCGAAGGCAGGUCUCUGGGCCAUAACUGACACUGAGGAGCGAAAGCGUGGGGAGCAAA